This 502-nucleotide ribosomal RNA is filed under the name uncultured bacterium. Its description in RNAcentral is "partial 16S ribosomal RNA". It matches the Rfam family "Bacterial small subunit ribosomal RNA", at positions 30 to 523 of the family's 1533-position model. The record is from RNAcentral.
AUUGAACGCUGGCGGCAGGCUUAACACAUGCAAGUCGAGCGGGGUGAUGGUGCUUGCACUAUCACUUAGCGGCGGACGGGUGAGUAAUGCUAGGAAUCUGCCUAUUAGUGGGGGACAACAUCUCGAGAGGGAUGCUAAUACCGCAUACGUCCUACGGGAGAAAGCAGGGGAUCACUUGUGACCUUGCGCUAAUAGAUGAGCCUAAGUCGGAUUAGCGAGUUGGUGGGGUAAGGGCCUACCAAGGCGACGAUCUGUAGCGGGUCUGAGAGGAUGAUCCGCCACACUGGGACUGAGACACGGCCCAGACUCCUACGGGAGGCAGCAGUGGUGAAUAUUGGACAAUGGGGGGAACCCUGAUCCAGCCAUGCCGCGUGUGUGAAGAAGGCCUUAUGGUUGUAAAGCACUUUAAGCGAGGAGGAGGCUCUUUUGGUUAAUACCCAGAAUGAGUGGACGUUACUCGCAGAAUAAGCACCGGCUAACUCUGUGCCAGCCGCCGCGGUAA